GUCUAAAGAAAGCAUUCCAAUUGGCACUGUUCUUUACUGUUCAUUGUUUUUGGACCCCAAUUUCACUUUAUUUACGAGGAUGCCACUGGCUCUCUCUGCUGCUGAUCUUCAUGCUGCGUGUUAUAAUCAUGGAAAGGCAGGGGUGCGAUGGUCAUUUUAGUCUGUAGGGUUUCGAACGGGAUGGGUGGGUUAGAGACUUUCAUUUCCUUUCUUUCUGAUGAGCUGCAGUGGGACUCGGGGACAGCAUGCCGUCGGGAGAGAGAAAGCGAGCGAGCAGAGAGAGAAGAGAGACAGGGAGGGAGAGAGAUAGAGAUUUGGUGAGAGGAAGGCAUGUGGCUUGCAGGCAGACAGAGUCACAGGGGGUGUACGAUUCGAGGGAGAGAAAGGGGGUUGGUUUCGAAAGCUCUACCUAGGGUUGUUUCAAAUCUUUUGUGCUUUAGGAUUAGGUUUACAAACUCUAUUCAUAUCAUGCAGCUUCAGAUUCGAAAUUGUGAUUUUGGUCGGCAAGAAUUCUAGGUGAUUGAAGCCUUUUGUUGCUGGUUUCCCUUCGAUUCAAAAUGGAGGUUAGUGGGAUCUGUUUUGAUAAGGCCCUUUAUCUUUUGAUGUGAAGCCCACAAACCAAGUAGUGACGGUUGAAAGCCUCAAACAUGGCAGGCGCGAAUUGGAGGUACAGUGACGGUCAACAAUUGCCUCCGUUGUCGAUGAAUUUGGCCGUCAGAAAGAAUCUUAUGGUUAAGAAUGUGAAAGCUCUACUAGAGGUGGAGUACUUUGAUUUGGGGUGACAAUGAUGUACCCUGAUCCACAACACCACAAACAACAGCACCCGCAACAUCAGCAGCAACACCCUCAACAUCAGCGGCAACACCCUCAACAUCAGCAGCAACAUUUGCAACACCAGUAGCGUCAACAGCAGGGCGGAGAAUUUCAUAUCCCCCCCUGGGCACCACCGGCCCCAAUGAUGCAUCAGCCGUCGGUAUGCCCCCCGAAGUAUCACAACCCACCUGUGCUUGCUCAUCCUCUUCCUCCUUAUGAUGCUCAUGCUGACACUUUUCUUGGAUAAAAGAUGAGAAAGCUUACACAGAGGAAAGCAGUUGAUUAUACUAGCACUGUCGUGCGAUAUAUGCAGUCCAUUCUUGGGUACAUAAUCUGAUCUGAUAAGGGGCAUCACCUGAAAAGUUUGUUAGGAGCAAGGUCGGUUGUUGAAACACCAUUUGUGAGAGUUUGUGCGUCAACUAACAUAAAACAAAGAAAGUCUUCACACCAAAUGGAUGGGAAUCGUCUCCAUCUGGUAAAUUUGUCCAUCCUUCUGGAGUGGAGCACUAUCUUUCUAACAGCAUAAAUGCUAUGAGAAACUGACAUGGAGACAAAUAGUUGUUUACUCCAUUCUAGGUAUGUUUUUCUUUAGUAUUUUAGAGGGAUUCUUAACUCUUCCCCAUUGUAAUCUUAACCCUUGUAUCUAUCUCUCUCAAAAGAAGAUGAGAGUAACAACUGUUGAAAAGCAAAUUCUCAGAUGUAUCUAAGCUUAUACAUACAUUGGACAAAAACUGAAUCUUAAAUUGGGGCAGUGAGUUCUGCAA
This is a non-coding RNA of Malus domestica (apple), 1577 nucleotides long. NCBI's taxonomy places the organism in Eukaryota, Viridiplantae, Streptophyta, Magnoliopsida, Rosales, Rosaceae. The record is from RefSeq and is a predicted model, not a curated record.